UUGGGAGCUAGCAGGCGUUUUCUAUGACUCUGCUAGAACCCACCCGGAAACGAUAAGUUUCGAUAUCCGGGGGAAGUAUACUUGCAAAUGCGAAACUUAAAGGAAUUGACGGAAGGGCACCACCAGGGGUGGAGCCUGCGGCUUAAUUUGACUCAACACGGGGAAACUCAUCCGGUCCGGACACCGGGAGGAUUGACAGAUUGAGAGCUCUUUCUUGAUUUGGUGGGCAGUGGUGCAUGGCCGUUCUUAGUUGGUGGAGUGAUUUGUCUGGUUUAUUCCGAUAACGAACGAGACUCUGGCCUACUAACUAGUUGCGCGAUCUUUUUGUCGUGCCAACUUCUUAGAGGGACAAGCGGUGCUCAGCCGCAUGAAAAAGAGCAAUAACAGGUCUGUGAUGCCCUUCGAUGUUCGGAGCUGCACGCGCGCUACACUGUGAGUGGCAGCAUGUUAGCUUGCCUCGCUCGCAAGAGUGGGGUAAUCGGUUGGAAAUCUCACGUGAUUGGGAUAGGGACUUGUAAAUGUUUCCCUUGAACGAGGAAUCCCUAGUAAGUGCAGGUCAUCAGCUUGCGCUGAUUACGUCCCUGCCCUUUGUACACACCGCCCGUCGCUGCCCGGAACUGAGCC
This 624-nucleotide ribosomal RNA is filed under the name Nematoda environmental sample. RNAcentral describes it as "SSU rRNA". It matches the Rfam family "Eukaryotic small subunit ribosomal RNA", at positions 1046 to 1695 of the family's 1831-position model. The record is from RNAcentral. Lineage: Eukaryota; Metazoa; Nematoda.